Non-coding RNA from Nicotiana tabacum (common tobacco), 14549 nucleotides. NCBI's taxonomy places the organism in Eukaryota, Viridiplantae, Streptophyta, Magnoliopsida, Solanales, Solanaceae. The record is from RefSeq and is a predicted model, not a curated record.
GAUGAUAUUUUCUUCUCUUCUUUCUGUGAGAAUCAAAUUGCAUUUUCUUGUCUUAUUUUCAGAUCUGAGCCUCAAUUUUACUCUUAAUUGCUUGUAUUUUAUUGUUAUUUUAUAGGGUGUCUUUGGUAUACGAUGAAAAAUAUUUUGCAUGAUGAAAUCAGUAAUUGGUUACUAAUUUAUCCCUCUAAGAAGAAGAAAGUUGGGAACUUCUUUAGGUCUGAACCAACUGAUUUUCUGUAGCAACUAAACUAACAGGCUUGCUCAUGAGAUACUCAUAAACAGAAGCUAUGAACUAUAGAUUCACUGUGUGUGUGUGUGUGUGGAGACUUUUUAGCUGAAAGGCCUGUGUAAGUCUUGAUUUAGGAAACUAGUGUAUGUGUGGAGACUUUUUAGCUGAAAGGCUUGUGUAAGUCUUGAUUUAUGAAAGUAGUGUGUGUAUGUGUGUAGAAUUUUUAGCUUAAGAAACUAGUGUAUGUGUGGAGACUUUUUAGCUGAAAGGCUUGUGUAAGUGUUGAUUUAUGAAAGUGGUGUGUGUAUGCGUGUAGAAUUUUUAGCUGAAAGUCUUGAAUUAUGAAACUAGUGUGUGUGUUUCUUUUUUCCUGAUUUUGAGUAAUUUUGCAAAUGAAGCAAUGUGAUAUUGAGGCUUUCAUGAUGAUUUUUCAGAGAAAAUAGAAUUGGGUAUUACAGUUACAGGCUUGUAUGUUGGCAGAGAAACCUAAAUAUGUGUAAAAAAAAUGGCAUAAAAAUUGGAUCCUUUUGUAUACCACACUCUUUUUGUUGCUGUUUUAUCUUAUGUUUCUCUUCUUGCUGCUAUUGUGCUGUUUUAUGAACCAAACAGCUAGAAAUCGUUGUAAAAAAUAGCAUAAAAUGUGGUAUAUGCAUUAAAAAUGGAUCUCUUCUUAUACCCAUAACCCAUGUUGUUUUUGUUGCUGCUGCAUCUUCUGUUUCUCUUCUUGUUGCUAUUGUGCUGUGUUUUGAACCAAACAACAAGAAAUCACUGUGAAGAUAAAGCUUCUCUUGAGCAAUUUGAGUUAGGCAUUGAGAUGAUAAGAGCUAUAUCUUGGCGGGGUAACCCGAAGAGGUUGCAGCCAUGGUAGUUUCUGAUAAAACCCAAUGCCUAAAAAAGGGCAGCCUGGUGCACUAAGCUCCCGACAUGUGCGGGCGGGGUCCGGGGAAGGGCCGACCACAAGGGUCAGUUGUACGCAGCCUUACCCUGCACUUCUGUAAGAGGUUGUUUCCACGGCUUGAACCGGUGACCUCCUGGUCUCAUGGCAUCAACUUUACCAGUUACGCAAGGCUCCCUUCAAAAGAAACCAAUGCCUAAUUAAAUUGAAAUAUGAGCCUCAUUAUGUACACCAUGUGACAUAGGGAAAUUACAUAUAUUACCCCCAAACUUGUCCCGAAAAGUCAUUUACAUACUUAACUUUACGAGAAAAAGCUCAAAAUUGUCCCUUAUCGAGACGGUGAUGAUCUUUCAAUCUAUCAUCCUUGGCUAGUCAUUGAGCAUAGCAAGUACCGACCCAUAUCUUGGCAGGGCAAUGACACGGAUGCUUGUAAUUUUAUUGCAUGCAACUCGGGUAUUUGCAGCCAUGGCAGGGCUGGACUUCCUUUGCCUAAGCAUAAAUACAGAUCUGAGCCUCAGUUCCUAUCCCAUAAUCUUACUUUUGGUGUACUUGACAUGGAGGAAACUCUUUCAGUCAACCAAGGCUGCUGGAUUCAGAGAGUUUUGGGGAGUUCUUUGAGUGGUUUCCCCUCUCUGGCAUUCUCAGCAGUCAAUGAUCGCUCAAAAUUUCCCCUUUUCACACGACUCUUUAGCAAGUAAGUUCAAAUGAGGCAGUGAAGAUUUUUAUUCUUUACUCAUCAGAUGGUUGAACUUUGCUAUGUCUUGGCGUGGCAGCUUAAGGCUUCUUAAGCUUGCAGCCAUGGCAGGGUUUGGCUUAUGUUUGAGAAAAGGCUAAUCUGAGUCUCCAGUACUUCUCAUAUGAAAAUAAAGAGACUCAAACAGCCCUUUAAAUGUUGGGAUCUUUACUGAAAUAGCCGGCCAGAUUCACUAUUAACUUUUUCCAACCAGUAUACAUGGAUUAUACACUACUUAUACCGUCAAACUUCUCUGUAACAACCAUCCUCUCUAACAACAUUUCACUGUAACAGCCAAGUUUUCUUUGGAACCAAUUUUUCAGUUUAUGUUAUAAUAUAUGUUCUCUAUAAGUGCUGUAGCAGCCAACAAAUGUCCGGAUCAAACGAGGCGGUUAAAAACUAAGAGAAAAGAGAGGAGGAAUUUUUCAAAAGGUGGUUACCUUCUCUGUAACUCCAGUGACUUCUCAAACAAAAAGAAAAGAGUAAAGAACAAAACAGCCUUUUAAAUCUCAGGGAAAAAUUAUUCAUACCAUGUUGAAGGUUUUUGCCUCAAGUGGUCCUUUAUGUUAAGGAGUUGAGCUGUUAAGCAGAAGUUAGAGAAUUCUGAGGCUGUGAUGAUAUUGUCUUCUCUUCUUUCUUUGAGCAAAUUAAUGGGGCAAGAAAAUUAAAAGUGACCCGUAUCUUGGUGGGGCAAUCCGGAUGGCAAGUGAUCGUUCUGUCAUGCAACCGGUGUUUGCAGCCAAUGCGAUGUCUUCAUUCUCUUGUCUUAUCAACAGUUCUGAGUCUCUAACUUUACUCUUAUAGCUUGUUUGGAUGGUUGUUACCUAUUGUAUUGUUAUUUUAAAAUGGCGUCUUUGGCAUGAUGGGAAACAUAUUUUUCAUGUUGAGAUCAGUAUUUGGUUACUAUAACUCUGAAAACAAGAAAGUUCGGAACUUUUAAGCUGAGAGCCAAGAAUUUUCCUAAAAAAAGUCUGCCCAGAAAGAGAAAUGAGGCCAACAGAGGGAAGGGAUUUUCUGUUGAGGGUGGUUGCCCCUCUCUGUUGUGCCUGUGAUUUUCUGUAGGUACUAAGCCAACAGCCCUUGUUCAUGAAAUGCUGAGAAACAGCAUAUGCUUCUUCAGUAUACAGUUUUACCGCUGAACCUCUGUGUAUCUGUGUGUGCAUGUGUUUCUUUUUCCUCCUUUGGAAUAAUUUUACAAAAGAGGCAGUGAUGAUAAUAACGUUUCACUUUCUGGGCUAAGAGGUUGUGAGUUCGAGUCUCCCCAAGAGCGAGGUGGGAAGUUCUUGGAGGGAAGGAUGCCGGGGGUCUAUUUGGAAACAGCCUCACACUACCCUCCCCAGGCCCCACUAAGUGGGAUUAUACUGGGUUGUUGUUGUUGUUGUUGUUGUUUCCGGGCUAACAAAAUUGGGCAUAGUGGACAAUCCCAACUCGUAUCUUGGCUUGGCAAAUCUCUUGUUGUGCAAGCAAUUGGUGAUUUUGCAGCCAUGGCAUAGUUGCCUUCACUUUAUCCAAGGAAACUGCAGUAUCUGAGCCUCGAAUUUCUGAAAUCAAACUCAGGAUGUCUAGUGCUUUGAAAAAUGUGGUAUACGUGUAAAAAAAAAAAAAAGGAUCUAUUUUAUAUACCUAUGUUGUUUUUGUUGCUGUUGCAUCUUAUGUUUCUCUUCUUGCUGCUGUCAUACUGCUUUAUGAACCAACAACAACAACAACAAAAAAGCUAGUAUAGACCCAACUCGGAAGGGUGGUGUAUAUGCAGACCUUACCCCUACCUUGAAGGUAGAGAGGUUGUUUCCGAUAGACCCUCAUUUGCUUUAUGAACCAAACAACAAAAGAUAAGAACAUGCUGAAUCAUGGUGGCUGUGAAGAUUUUCUUGAGCAAUUUGAGUAAGGCAUUGAGAUAAUAAGAGCCAUAUCCUGGCGGGAUAACUCGGAAAGGUUGCAGCCAUGGCGGUUUCUGAUAGCACCCAAUGCUUAAUUAAAUUGGAAUCUGAGCCUCGUUAUGUACAUUGAUACGACAUAGCGACAAUACAUAAAUUACACCCAAACUUGUCCCGAAUAAUCAUUUACAUACUCUAACUUUAUGAGAAAGUCCAAAAUUGUCCCUUAUUGAGACGGUGAUGAUCUUUCAAUCCAUCAUCCUAAGCUAGUCAUUGAGCAUAGAGAGUACCCGACCCGUAUCUUGGCGGGGCACUGACCCGGAUGUUUGUAAUUUUAUUGCAUGCAGCUGGCGAUAUUUGCAGCCAUGGCGUGGCUGUACUUUCUUUGCCUAAAAUAUAUAUAGAUCUGAGCCUCCAUUUUCUCCAUAAUCUUACUUUGAGCGUACUUGAUACGGAGGAAUCCAUUUCACUCAAUCUGAGGCUGCUGGAUUCAGAGAGCUUUGGGGAGUUCUUUGAGUGGUUGCACCUCUCUGGCAUUCUCAGUAGUCAAAAAUCACUCAAAAUUUCCCCCUUUUCGGACCUCUCUUUAGGAAUACGUUCAAAUGAGGCAGUGAAGAUUUUCUUUCUUUACUCAUCAGAUGGUUGAGCUUUGCUGUAUCUUGGCGUGGCAGCUUAAGCUUUUGCAGCCAUGGCGAGGUUUAGCUUAUGCUUGAGAGAUGGCGAAUCUGAGCUUCCAGUGGCUUCUCAUAUGAAAAAUGAGAGAAUCAAACAGUCCUUUAAAUGUUGGGAUCUUUACACAAAUAGCCCGUCUGAUUCACCGUUUACUUUCUCCCUCCCACCGGUGUACAUUGAUUAUACACUAAUUAUAUACGGUCGUACAUGUUUUACGUGGAUUAUACAUAUUUUAUACAUCUGCCGGCUAUUUUUAGUUUAGGCGGUUGGGUGGAUGGCUAUUUAGGUUAAUUCUUCUUAAAUGUUUGGGUAUGGAUUCACCAGAAGGUACAAACAACAACAACAACAAACUCAGUUUGAUCCCAUAAAUGGGGUCUGGGGAGGGUAGUGAGUACGCAGACCUUACCCCUACCUCAUAGAGAUAGAGAGUCUGUUUUUGAUAGACCCUCGGCUCAAGGAGGAUUCACCAGAAGGUAAAAGUAGAAAUAUUGCUUCUUUAAAAGACUCUCUUGGCGGGGCAACCAGGAUGGCAAGUUAUCUUUGUGUCAUGCAACCGGUGUUUGCAGCCAUGAAUCGGGCAUUGAGGACAAUCAGAUCCGUAUCUUGGCCUGGCAAAUCCCUUCUUGUGGAUGCAAAUGGUGAUUUGCAGCCAUGGCGUGGUUGCCUGCAAUUUGUCCGAGCAAAAUGCAGUAUCUGAGCCUCAAAUUUCUGGGAAUCGAACUCAGGACCUCUGGCACUUUGAAAAAUGUGAAAUCAUUGCAAGAACAGGGAGAAUUAUGGCGGCUAUGAAGAUAAAGCUUUUCUUGAGCAAUUUGAGUUAGGCAUUGAAAUGAUAGGAGCCGUAUCUUGGCGGGGUAGCCCGGAGAGGUUGCAGUCAUGGCAGUUUAUUAUAAAGCCCAAUGCCUUAUUUAAUUGAAAUCUGAGCCCCUAUGAUGUAACAUAGGGAAUAUACAUAAAUUGCCCCCAAACUUGUCCGGAAGAGUCAUUUAAGUCAUUUACACGCACUAAUUUUAUGAGAAAAAAGUGCAAAAUAGUGCCUUAUCAAGGCCGUGAUGAUCUUUCAAUCUAUCAUUUUGAGCUAGUCAUUGAGCAUAGGGUGUAACCAACCCGUAUCUUGGCGGGGCAAUGACCCGGAUGCUUGCUUUUUUAUUACAUGCAAGUUGGGCCAUUUGCAGCCAUGGCGUGGCUGGACUUUCUUUGCAUGAGCAUAAAUAUAGAUCUGAGCCUCCUCUUCCGUAAUCUUACUUUGUCUCUACUUGAUAUGGAGGAAACAUGUUUCAGUCAAUCUGAGGCUGCUGGAUUCAGAGAGUUUUGGGGAGUUCUUUGAGUGGUUGCCCCUCUCUGGCAUUCUCAGCAGCCAAUGAUCACUCAAAAUUUUCCGUUUAUCAAACUACUCUUUAGCGAAUAAGUUCAAAUGAGGCAGUGAAGAUUUUCAUUCUUUACUCAUCAGAUGGUUGAGCUUUGCCGUAUCUUGGCGUGGCAGCUUAAGGCUUCUUAAGCAUGCAGCCAUGGCAGGGUUUAGCUUAUGCUUGAGAGAAGGCGAAUAUGAGCCACCAGCGACUUCUCAUAUGAAAAAAGUGUCAAACAACCCUUUAUAAGUUUUGGUGCUUUAAAGGACUUUGAGACGAGCAAUAAGCAGACACAAAAAUUCAGAGAGAAGAGAGGAUGCUUGCAUAGAGGAGGGAUUUUUACAAGGGUGGUUGCCCCUCUCUGCAACUCUAGUGACCUAGAAAAAAGAAUCAAAUAGCCCUAUGAAUCUCAAACAACCAUUACUUCCAACUGCAAAGUAGAGAGAAACUCUAGCAUUCAAAUUGAAGCAAAUAGAGAAACUCCAAAGAAUAAAGAUAACACACAAAAGGGAAUUCACUUCCAAGAGGAAAUAAUUAGGGACAUCCUCAGCAGGUUACCUGUGUGGUCUCUUCUUCGAUUCAAACGUGUUUCAAAAUAUUGGAAUACAUUAAUCUCUGAUCCUUACUUUAAGAUGAAGCAUCAGAAUGACCAAAAUCCCCAAAAUUUUCUUGUUAGCCAAAGGUGCCUUGAUAAGGUGAUAUGUAUAACUUCAAUUGUUAUUCUUUAUCGUCGAUUGAUGUACAAAAAUUUGAUUGUCCUUUAAACUGUAAACCAAGGCGUUAUGUAAUGUUAUGUUCUGAUUGUCUCUUAAAAGAAAAAUCUCAAGGAAAAAUAAUUCGCACCCUGUGAAUUUUUUUACUCAAAUGGUCCUUUAUGUUAAGGAGCUGAACUUAACUCAUGCCUACAACUCCUCAUAAAGACGAGAGAGACAGAGAGUGAGUUCUGAGGCUGAGAUGAUACUUUCUUCUCUUCUUGGGGCAAGAGAAAUAAAGGGACUCAUAUCUUGGCAGGGCAACCCGGAUGGCUACCGGUGUUUGCAGCGAUGGCGAUGUCUUCAUUCUCUUGUCUUAUCAACAAAUCUGAGCCUCAAUUUUACUCUUAUAGCUUGUUUGGAUGGUUGUUACCUAUUGUACUGUAUUGUUAUUUAAAAGGGUGUCUUUGGUAUGAUGGAAAAUAUUUUUCAUGAUGAAAUCAGUGUUUGGUUACAAAUGUAUUCAUAUGAGAAAAGAUAAGUUGGGAAAUUUUCCUAAAAUUCUUUCCAGAAAGAGAAAUGAGGUUAAUAGAGGGAAGGGAUUUUCUUCUAACAGUGGUUGCCCCUUUCUUUUGUGCCAAUGAUUUUCUUUAGCUGCUAAACCAAAGCCCUUGUUCAUGAAAUACAUAGAAACAGCAGCUAUGAUCAUUGAAGCAUAUGCAUGGAUUUUCUUCAAUCUACUGCUUCAUUCAUAGAUCUCAGUCUGUAUUUUAUGGGGAAUUUGCACAAAUAGCCUUUCAUGAGGCAGUGAUGAUAAUAUGCACUUUCUGGGCUAACAAAAUCGGGCAUCGAGGACAAUCACUCGUAUCUUGGCCUGGCAAAGCCACAGAUGGCCUGCAAUUGAGGCUCUCUCUUUUGCAUGCAACCGUUGAUUUUGCAGCCAUGGCGUGGUUCCCUUCACUUUGCCUGAUCAAAAUGCUAAAUCUGAGCCUCAAAUUGCUUUAAAAGACUGACUUUGAGAAGAGCAAUAAGCAGACACAAAAUCUCAGAGAGAAGAGAGGAGGCUUGCAGAGAGGAGUUCUUCAAAGGGUGGGUGCCCCUCUCUGCAACUUCAGUGACUUCUCAUGUGAAACAAAAAUCAAAGAACCCUUUAAGUUGGCGUUUGGACAUAAGAAUUAUGAAAUCCCGGAAAAAAGUGAAGUUCUUUUUCAAGUGAAAAUGCUCCUUUAUGUUAAGGAGUUGAACUAAGAGCCUGUUGGAUUAGCUGAAUUUAAGUAGCUUUUAAGCGGAUGAGAGAGAAUUCAGAGGCUAUGAUGAUUGUCUUCUCUUCUUUCUCUGAGCAAAAACCAACAGGGCAAGAGAUAUUAAGGGAUCCAUAUCUUGGUGGUGACCCGGAUGGCAAGUGAUCUUUGUGUCAUGCAACCGGUGUUUGCAGCCAUGAAUUGGGCAUUGAGGACAAUAAGGGGACCUGUAUCUUGGCGGGGCAACCUGGUUGGCGAGUGAUCUCUCAUGCAACCGGUGCUUGCAGCCAUGAAACAGAAGCUAUGAACCAUAGACCUCAGUGUGUGUGGAGACUUCUUUACUGAAAAGCCCGUAAUCAGGCAUUGAGAUAAUCUGACCCGUAUCUUGGCCUGGCAAAUCCUCUCUUGUGCAUUCAACUGGUGAUUUUGCAGUCAUGGCGUGGUUGUCUUCUCUUUGCCUGAUCAAAAUGCAGAUCACCUGAAAUGGGCUGUGAUGAUGAGUGCUUCUUUCUGGGUUAUCCACUUUACUGCAUUGAGAAAAUCCGAUCCAUAUCUUGGCGGCCCGACCCGGUAUGGCAUUCAUUUGCGAACUGGUGUCUUGCAACCAUGGCGUGAGUCUCUUUUUCUUUGCAUGUUCAUAUACAGCAAAAUCUGAGCCCUAAAGUCUAUGACAACCUUUUGAUGGCUUUCUUAGGCUUGCAGCCAUGUGAGGGUUUAGCUUAUGUCUCUGAAAAGGUUAAUCUGAGACUCCCAAGUAUCUGUUUGUGUUCAAAGAAUGAGGAUUUUUAUGGAACUCGAGAAAGGCUGAGAUUUUCUAAGGGUGGUUACUCUCUUUCUCCGAAGUUCUAUUUAGCCAAUGAAUAUUUCUUUACCUUUGUUACAAAGAGACAAAUUUACAUCCCUUUCAUCAGCAAAAUGCCAAUUAUGGGAAUGACGAGGCUAAAUUAUCGCAACAUUAAGCAGUGAAUAAGUAUUCACCAGAGGGCAAAAGUAGAAAUAUUGCUGCUUUAAAGGACUGACUUUGAGACGAACAAUAAGUAGUCACAAAAGCUCAGAGAGAAGAGAGGAGUUCUUCAAGGGUUGUUGCAACUCAGUGACUUCUCAUAUGAGAAAAAUAUCAAGCCACCCUUUAAAUCUCAGGGAAAUUGUACACAUAUUUAACCACUCGGCCAAUGUUACUCUGGUUCUUGUUUUAUGGUUUUUUAAACUCAAGAUGGUCCUUAUGUUUCGGAGUUGUACUAAAUUCAUGUGUGCAACUCCUCACCCUAAAAAAGAAGAAACUGAGGCUGUGCUGAUACUUUCUUCUCUUCUUUAUCUGAGCAAAUCAAUGAGCAAGAGAAAUACAGGGACCUGUAUCUUGGCGGGGCAAUCCGGAUGGCAAGUGAUUUUUGUCAUGCAAUUGGUGUUUGUAGCCAUGGCGAUGCCUUCAUUCUCUUAUCUUAUCGACAGAUCUGAGCCUCAGUUUUACUCUUAAUAGCUUGUUUGGAUGGUUGUUACCCAUUGUAUUAUGUUGUCAUUUUAAAAAGGUUCUUUGGUACGUAGGAAAAUGUUUUUCUGAUUAAACCAGUGUUUGAUUACUCAUUACCGAUAUAUACCUAUGAGAAGAAGAAAGAUUGGAAUUUUCAGGUCACAAAAGAGGCAGUGAUGAUAAUAAUGUUUCACUCUGAGAAAAAUCCGGCAUUGAGACAAUCUGACCCGUAUCUUGGCCUGGCAAAUCCCCUCUUGUGCACGCAACGGGUGAUUUUGCAGCCAUGGCGUGGUUCUCUUCACUGUCCGAUGAAAAAUGCAAAAUCUGAGCCUCAAAUUUCUACAUCAUUUUUGAGGAAAACACCUUUCCAUUUCAAGCUAAGCAGUAAACAAAUAGUAUUCAACAACACCAACCCAUUAUAAUCCCACUUAGUGGGGUCUGGGGAGGGUAGUGUGUACGUAGACCUUACCCCUACCCUGGGGUAGAGAGGCUGUUUCCAAAUAGACCCCCGGCAUCCUUCCCUCCAAGAACUUCCCACCUUGCUCUUGAGGAGACUCGAACUCACACCUCUUGGUUGGAAGUGGAGGUUGCUUACCAUCAGAGCAACCCCUCUUGUCAAACAAAUAGUAUUCAGCAGAGGGAAAAACUAGAAAGGUUGGUGCUCUAAAAGACUUGGCUUUGACACAAGCAAAUGAUAAAUAAGCCCAGAAAGAAGAAUGAGGCUAGCAGAGAGGAGUUUUUACAUGGGUGGUUGCCUCUCUCUGCAACACCCAUGACUUCUCAUAUGAAAAAAAAUCAAACAGCCCUUUAAAUAUCAGGGAAAUAGUGUUGUCCAAACAUAAACCACUCGGCCAAUGGUGCUCUGUUCUUGUUUAAAUGUUUUUGGCUCAAAUUGGUCCUUAUGUUUAGGAGUUGUAAUAAAUUCAUCUCUUCACCCAAAAAAAAGAAGAAACCGAGGCAGUGAUGAUAGUUUCUUCCUUCUUGCUUCCUUCUUUCUCUGAGCAAAUGAAUCGGGUUGUAUCUUGUGGGGGCAACCCGGAUGGCAAGUGAUCUUUGUAUCAUGCAACCAGUGUUUGCAGCGAUGGUGAUGUCUUCAUUCUCCUUUCUUAUUAACUGAUCUGAGCCUCAACUUUACUCUUUGGGUGUUUUGGUAUGACAGAAAACAUUUUUCAUGAUGAAAUCAUGUACUUGGUUACUAGUGUAUCCCUAUGAGGAGAGAAAAGUUGUGAAAUUUUCAGGUGAGAGCCAAGAAUUCCUAAAAGAAAUCAGCCCAGAAAGAAAUGAAGUUAAGGGUGGUUGCCCCUCUGUUUGUGCCACUGAUUUUCUUUAGCAACUAAACCAACAGUCGUUGUUUAAGAAAUGCUUAGAAACAGAAAAUGAAUCCAUAUAUCUCAGUGCGUGCGUGCGUGUGUGUUCUUGGGGAAUUCGCACAAAUGGCCUUUUUUUUAGGCUUAUGAUAAUAAUGUCACGUUCUGGGCUAACAAAAUCGGGCAUUGAGGACAAUCCGACCCAUUUCCUUGCCUGGCAAAUCCUGGAUGGCGUACAUUUGAUGCUCUCUUUUGCAUGCAAUCGGUGAUUUUGCAGCGAUGGCGUGGUUGCCUUCUCUUUGUCCGUGCAAAAUGCAGUAUCCGAGCCUCAAAUUCCUAGGAAUCAAAAUUGUGACCUCUUGUGCUUUGAACAGUGCUCCCGGUUUCAGCUCAAGCUAGUGAACAAAAGAAUGAAGUAUCACAGAAGGCUACUUUUGCUUCUCAGGGCUAACAAAAAAUGGCAUUGAGGACAAUAGGACCCGUAUCUUGGCCUGUCAAGUCCCUGGAUGGCCUGCAUUUGAGGCUGAUUACUCUCUUUUGCAUGCAACAGGUGAUUUUGCAGCCAUGGCGCUAUUGCAUUCUCUUUGUUCGGGCAAAAUUUGGUAUCUGAGCCUCAGAUUUCUGUGAAUCGAACACCUCUUGUGCUUUGAAAUGUGUAAUGUUUGCUCCAAAUUUUAACUCUUGCUAAGUAUCAAACAAGUAAGGUAUCACAUAAAGAUGUGUACUUUUUCUUCUCAGAGAUUUCUAUCCAAAAGCACACAACUAUAUAGAUAGAUAGAUAUAUAGUUAGAAAGUUGCUGCUUUUUUGCAAACCCGAAUCUAAAGGAAAAUGAAAGACAUGAUGAACAAGACAUUGGACUUGUAUUCAGUGCCUUAAGUUUGCUUUAAGUUCACAUUGGCUUCUUGCUUAAUCUCUCUGUUGCUAGCAGGAAAUAAAGGUUUCUCUAACUGGUCUUUUUGAAUAGAAAUUUGUGGUUUCUUUACAUUUUCCUUAAGCAUGAAAGGCCGAGAAAGGUAUGCUUGAGAAAUUAGCAGGAUCUCUCAAUGGUAAGAACUAAAAUGGAGGUCAAAUUGGGGUGUAUAUCAUUGUUGCCGUCUUCUGCUGCUUUGUAGUUACUAACUCCACGACCACCUGUCAACAUAGCGGUUCUGACGAAAAAUAUCUUAAGUCAGGUUUGGGAUCUAAUGAAACUGUAUCUUGGCCGGGCAAUCUAGAUGUUACUGGAAUUGCAGCCACGGCAGUGACUUCCUUCUUUCUCUGAGCAAAUGAAUCAAUAAAGAAAACAAUGGGCAUAUAUCUUGGAUGGCAACCCCAAUGGCAAGUGAUUUUUUGUGUCAUGCAACCGAUGUUUGCAGCCAUGACAACGUCUUCGUUCUAUUGUCUUAUUUUCUUCAACAGAUCUGAGUCUCAAAUUUUCUCUUUGGGUGUCAUUGGCAUACAACAACAACUGAGCCUCAAGCCCAAACAAAUCGGGGUUGGCUACAUUAAUCCUCAAUGUCCAUGCCACGUCAUCUAAGCUCAUGUCAGUCUAAUAUAAAGUGUUUGGGACCCUAAUGGAUCGGGAAUUUUAACCUAACGUGAAUCGAACACGCAACCUUCUGAUCUGGAGUCAGACGCGCUAUAUUGCACCAUGACAAGUCAGCCUAGAGAGUGAAUUGAGGCUAACAAAGAGAAGGGAUUUUCUCCUAAGAGUGGUUGCCCCUCUCUGUUUGUGCCAAUGAUUUUCUUUAGGUGCUAAACCAACAGCCCUUGUUCAUGAAAUACUCAGAAAGGUCACUCUGAUCAUGUAAGAACAUGCAUUAAUCUCCAUAUGUUGUCAAUCCGCAGCUUCAGCCAUAAACCUGUGUCUGUAUGUGUGUUUUUAGCACGUUUCUUUUUCCUCAUUUUGAGUAAUAGAGGCAAUGAUGAUGUUAAUUGCUGGGCUGACAAAAUCGGGCAUUGAUCCAACCCGUAUCUUGGCUUGGCAAAUGGACGGUUUUUGCAGCCAUGGCGUGGUUGCCUUCUCUUUGCCUGAUCAAAAUGCAGAUCUGAGCCUCAGAUUUCUGAGAAUCGAACUUGGGUCCUCUUGUUCUUUGAAAUAUAUUAAUGUUUGGUCCAAAUUUUAGCUCAAGCUUCAGACCAAAAGAAUGAGCCAGAGAAGAUGGGUACUUUUCUUCUCUGGUAAGCCCAUGAUUUCAAAACCAAAAGCACUUCACUUUCUCAUUGACUGUGGUUGACAAUUAGAUACAUGGGUAGAAAAAUUUCCAUGUAAACGCAAAAUCAAUCUACCGACUAUGCUCAAUCCCUGAACAUAAAUGAUUGGAAAUGCCAUAGGAAGGUAUUGAACGUUCGACCUUGUGGAUAAUAGCCACACGCUUUUACCAACUGAGCUACACCAUGCGAACCCAAGUCAGAUUAGAAGUUGUGCGGAGAAAAUGAUAAAUAAAUAAAUAAACGAUGGGGCUAUGAUGAAAUUCUUCUUAGAAAAUGCAAUGAAGCAUUCAGAGAAUUUGCGCCGUAGCUUGGCAGGGCGACCUGGCUAGCGUUUAUGGUAACAUGCUGAAGGUUUGCAGCCAUCACGGUGUUGAAAGACUGAAUGAGACUUGAACAAGAUCUGAGCCUAAAAUGUAUGGAUUAUUUGGUAUUUCUGCUUGCACUUGACCCUUUGUAUUUCAAAUCGUUUCCGUGAAAUGUCUAUAGUGACUUGCUGUCUUGCUUAAACGAUCUCAUUUUUCGGUAUUUUUUGCUAGAUUUUGUCUCUGCAGUUGACUUGCUGACUAAUCUGCUGUAGCAGCAGUUGAUUUGCACAAAUAGCCGAUUUUAUGACCCCUUGUAUUUAGAACAAGGUAGAAAUGACACAAGGUAGCCACUUUAAAUGCUGCUAAUAAUGGGCUAUGAUGAUUUGAUUCUUUCUUUCUGGUCUAUCUUUCACCAGCUUUGAGGAAAUCUGUCCCGUAUCUUGGCGGGGCAACCCGGUAUGGCAUCUUCUGCAAACCGGUUUUGCAGCCAUGGCGUGGUCACUAUAUCUUUGCAUGUUCAUAAAAAAGCAAAAUCUGAGCCCUAAAAGUUUUACGACAACCAUUUGAUGGUCUUGAAUGAUGGUCGAUCUCUGGAACUGGAAAUCCAAUUGGGUUCUUCAGUUUUUUCUUGAACACCAAUUGUCAGAUGCAGUUCUCCAUCAAUUCUUUUGCUCAAAACUGAGGAAUCGGAGAAAAAUGGGGAUUUCAGUGUGGUUGACCAUCUCCGGCAUGGCAAGGAUUUCUAUGUUGCUCCAGACGAACAUCCCUUUCUGAGUAUGCAUGCAUCUAUGUCUCUAUCUUUGUUAAUACUGUGCUCCUGCGUGGCUGCGUCUUGAGGCAAAGAAGAUUGGAGAGAGUUAUGGUAUCUCCAACAUCCCAGGAUCAUCUGUCUUCAUACAUAGCCAAAUUCUAACUUGUUCCGUGCUUUGAACAAGUUUUAAGCCAAUUCUCAUUAAUUCUCUUGCUCUCUUAGAUGAGUACACGCAGCAUUUGAAGAGAGGCCUGAUCGCGCCAACACCCUCGGGGAACGAAGAAAACCAGUCAGUUUAAGAACUAAACUUAUCCAUAGCUGGCUUGACCUGUCCAGAGUUGAAUUCUGACUCCACAGAGAGAAACGUCAAGCAGUACUGUGAAUAUAGGAACUAAGAUUUUGUUGGUUUCUCUUGUGCAUAGCAGAACUGACCUUUCAAAGGUUAAGUGGAGCCAAAGUGGAUUAGCCUUUUUUCUGAUAGAUCAAAUCUGAGCCUCUUUUCUUUGUUAGGUUUAGUGCUACCAUGAGUCUUUCUUUUGUUCUUUAAUUAUUUUUAUGUUCUUGUAGUAUAAUAUUGGUUUAUGAUGAGUCUAAACAUAGUGACAUGAUCUAAAUGGAGCAACAUGAUCAGUGGGAAUUCAUAUUGUUGAUCCUAGCUUGCUUGAGACUGAGGCGUCGUUGUCGUGUUCUUUUAUGUUCAUGUUAUUCUUCUGCUUUUGUAUAAUAUCCAGUUUCAAAGGAAAACUGCAUGUGUUUAUAUACACAUUUUCCUAGAGUGUAAUUAUUAUGUACUGAUAGAAGCAAAGUUCAAAAGGGAAUGGAAGUGAAUAUUGAGGAUU